UGGGGAAUUUUGGACAAUGGGGGAAACCCUGAUCCAGCCAUCCCGCGUGUGCGAUGAAGGCCUUCGGGUUGUAAAGCACUUUUGGCAGGAAAGAAACGUCGCGGGUUAAUACCCCGCGAAACUGACGGUACCUGCAGAAUAAGCACCGGCUAACUACGUGCCAGCAGCCGCGGUAAUACGUAGGGUGCAAGCGUUAAUCGGAAUUACUGGGCGUAAAGCGUGCGCAGGCGGUUCGGAAAGAAAGAUGUGAAAUCCCAGAGCUUAACUUUGGAACUGCAUUUUUAACUACCGGGCUAGAGUGUGUCAGAGGGAGGUGGAAUUCCGCGUGUAGCAGUGAAAUGCGUAGAUAUGCGGAGGAACACCGAUGGCGAAGGCAGCCUCCUGGGAUAACACUGACGCUCAUGCACGAAAGCGUGGGGAGCAAACAGGAUUAGAUACCCUGGUAGUCCACGCCCUAAACGAUGUCAACUAGCUGUUGGGGCCUUCGGCCUUGGUAGCGCAGCUAA
Molecule: ribosomal RNA, 506 nt
Filed under: uncultured bacterium
Lineage: Bacteria
Description: partial 16S ribosomal RNA
Rfam family: Bacterial small subunit ribosomal RNA
Source: RNAcentral